Hyposmocoma kahamanoa is the source of this 613-nucleotide long non-coding RNA. RefSeq lists it as uncharacterized. The transcript has 4 exons. The record is from RefSeq and is a predicted model, not a curated record. Lineage: Eukaryota; Metazoa; Arthropoda; Insecta; Lepidoptera; Cosmopterigidae.
AUAUGCUCUAGUGUUUAUGAUCGCAGGGGUUAGAAAAAUGGUUAAGCAGCCAAUAGCAUUCCACCUCUCUGCGGGGUCUGUGACAGCAAACAGACUGGUGGUGCUCAUAAAGGAGGUCCUUUUAAACUGCUUUGAUGCGGGGCUGAACAUUGCUGCAACAGUUUGUGACAUGGAUGGAGUAAAUAAAAGAGCCUUAGGUAUCUCGGGAGUAAGUGUACAGCAACCUGUCACUAUAGUUGGCAAUCAAGGAGCAGUUACACUUUUCGACACCCCCCAUCUUCUGAAAUGUUUCAGAAACUUGUUUCUAAAGCACAUGAUAUUGAAUGUCAAAGAAAUAUAACAUCGGAUGGCAAAACUGGAAUUGGAAUUGCAAAAUGGGCCCACAUAAAAAACUUUUAUGACUUGGAUAGUACUAAUCCAAACUUUGUCUUUGCACCGUGUCCAAGACAUGAGCAUUUGGACCCUAACUGUAAAGAAAAAUGAAAGUUAAACUCGCAGCACAAGUAUUGAGUCACUCUGUUGCUGCUGGAAUGUGCGCAAAAAUAUCACAAGGAGAACUGCCUGCCGACGCUGCUGUUACAGCCAAUGUAAUAUCCGAUAUGGAUAAACUAUU